Molecule: non-coding RNA, 20 nt
Filed under: Arabidopsis thaliana (thale cress)
Lineage: Eukaryota; Viridiplantae; Streptophyta; Magnoliopsida; Brassicales; Brassicaceae
Source: RNAcentral
UGAUUGUGUUCUGGUAUGUU